Molecule: ribosomal RNA, 403 nt
Filed under: uncultured bacterium
Lineage: Bacteria
Description: partial 16S ribosomal RNA
Rfam family: Bacterial small subunit ribosomal RNA
Source: RNAcentral
AUUGAACGCUAGCGGGAGGCCUAACACAUGCAAGUCGAGCGCGCGGCGGACGGGGGAGGAAUGUAUGGGGGACGACCGAUAGAGGGGGAGAAAUACUGGAAACGGUAGAUAAUACAUCAUACUAUCGGGUAACCCAUAUGGGAUUAGCGCGUGGGUGAGGUAAUGUCUCACCUAGGCGACGAUCCCUAGCUGGUCUGAGAGGAGGAACAGCCACACUGGGACUGAGACACGGCCCAGACUCCUACGGAGGCAGCAGUGGGGAAUAUUGCACAAUGGGCGAAAGCCUGAUGCAGCCAUCCCGCGUGUAUGAAGAAGGCCCUAGGGUUGUAAAGUACUUUCAGUCGGGAGGCGUUACCGGCAGAAGAAGCACCGGCUAACUCCGUGCCAGCAGCCGCGGUAAUUC